Molecule: long non-coding RNA, 755 nt
Organism: Lingula anatina
Lineage: Eukaryota; Metazoa; Brachiopoda; Lingulata; Lingulida; Lingulidae
Source: RefSeq, a predicted model, not a curated record
AGUGGUGAGGUUGCAGCAGUGCUACAGACCAGUGAAUACAAGUCUGUAAAUGUGACUUUUAAAGGAAAGAAGCCCAGCUCCAGUAAUACAACCCUUUUGUCAAAGCUUAUAGAAUGCUUAGAAGCCAGAUUUCCACCUGGAAGAUCUGCUGUCAUUGAUGCCUCAUGCAUAAGCAGUUUUUAUAAUUGGCCUACAUCAGGAUCUGAUAGCAUCAAAGCGUAGGGAGUGGCAGAGCUGACAGUCAUACACAAUCACUUUCAAGAUCUGCUGCCAGACCUUGCUGUCAUAUUACAGGAGUGGUCCCUUCUUAAGGCCCUUCUUUACAAGAGAUAUGGACAACAACUUGCCUCUGUUGCCUGGGAAGACGCCCUUCAAGGAUUUAAAUCACAAGACUUGGAUGCGAUAUAUACAACACUUGAUCUUGUAAGAUCACUGCCACCCACAUCAGUGAGGAACGAAGCAACAUUCAGUGCCAUGAAAUUGACAAAAUCAAAAAGAAGGGGUCGGUUAAAUGCAUCCACUUUAAAUGACUUGCUGCUGAUUCACCUGGAAUCCCCUGCGAUUGAAGAUUUUAAUCCUGAUGAAGCUAUCAAGGAUUGGCUGGUCACGCCAUCUAGAAGGAGCAGAAGGUUGGGGUAUAAGAGAGAUACAGUGAAGACAACUGUUACAGCUACAGAUCCUUUUCCUUCCACUUCAACAGUGAGCAAUGUCAGUGAAACUGAGGUACCUUCUACUUCAACAGUGAGCAAUGUCAG